UGAACUCCAUCCCAUAGCUUUUUAAGCUUGCUAUGACUCAAGUGAAGCUCUAUGAGCAUUUCAGCACAAAAGGUUGAUGGCAAAAACUCAAGACAGUAUCCUUCCCAUCGAAGAUACCUCAAUUUAUCAGAAAUCCACUCAAGACCAUCGGGAAAGUACACAUUGCAUGUGUUUCCUCUAGAUAUAUUAUAGAUUUUAAGAUAUCUUAAAUUUUUCAUCCUUCUAAAGGAAUUAGACUUCAAGUAAAGAUCCCCCACAUCUGUACUAUCGAAUGUUAUCCCUUCGACAGCUUCAGUUCCCUGAUAAAAAUUACAUUAAUAAUUAGGAAUGAUUGUCACAUAUACUUUCCUUGUUAUAUUUCAUAAUCACAUAGAUGUGUUAUUUUGAUGUAGAAGGGAAUAGAUCCUCUACUUACUUUGUUAUAUUUUAAUACAUCGGAUAUCUCUUCAGCUUUCCACAGUCGACUUCGUUUUCCAGGAUCUUCAGAUUCUUGAUUAACAAUCUCCCGUCCCAUUUCUUGUAACAAAUCAUGCAUUUCUAUAGUACAAACUUCCCUUUUGACAUGCAAAAUUGAAUCUAGUUGAAUGAGAGCUUUAUCUAGAAGGACGUCUAUCCCACUUAUUGCAAAGAAAUCAGAAGCUUCCAGUAGAUCUCUUACAAAAUCUUUACCCUGUCCACUCAACAAGCAUGCGAUGUCUAGAAAUAUGGCCUUUUGACAACGAUCUAACUCAUCAUAACUCAAUUUUAACACAUUAUGAAUUUUUCGAUUGGGAAUCUUUUGGAGCUUUUUCAAUUCAUUUUCCCACGCUUCUUGGCCCCUUGAACUGAGAUUUGCACCUAAAACUUUUAAUGCCAGAGGGUUACCUUUGCAAUAGGCAAUUACACUUUCUGAUAGAUCUUCAUAUCCAAUUUUAGGUUGUUUUUCUUUGAAGGCAGUCAAACUGAAUAGCUGAAAAGAAUCAUGCUUGUUCAAUUCUUUAAGCUCAUAUAUUUCACAUUUACUCACCUGACUAAAUAUGUGCUUAUCUCUAGUUGUAAUAAUGACCCUACUACCUGGUCCCAGACCAUCAAUUUUUGGGAUAAGAUCAUCUAUUUGCUCUAAGGUUUCUACACCAUCCAACACAAUUAAAACUUUUUUACGCCCAAUCCUUCUCUCGGAGAAAGGGGCUUCUAUGUAGGAUGCAUCAGGAUGAAUAUUUUCUUCCUCUAACAAUGAAGACAAAAGUUUAUUGAGUACAACAUUAAGUCCAUACUUGUUUGAUUCAUCCAUUACAUUGAGUAAGCAACAACCUUCGAAUUGAGAAUACAUUUUAGCAUAUAAAGCCCUAGCAAGGGUGGUCUUUCCUAUGCCACCCAUGCCCCAUAUUCCAAGGACUCUGACUUCAUGUGACCCAAUUUUCAGCUUUGAUUCAAUUUGGUCAUAAUUUUUCUCAAUUCCAACAAGCCCGGCCUUAAUUUCAUAUGGGUAUUUAAGAUUCAGUUUCUGCAAAACAUCUUCAACGAUAUCCUUAAUGAAGCGUGAUUCAGUCCUAGCAUACGAAAGAGGGGAAGAAGGUUUGAUAAGUCUACAAAUACAAUGGAAGGAAAAUACAUCUAUAUGAUUGGUAAAUAAAAUUUAUAGUCGACAUGGUGGCACUGGCAGUUCCUUAGCAGAGCAAGAAAGAAAGAAAAUUAGAUUUGAGGAAAUAAAUACCAAUGAUAGAGAAUGUAAUUAAUGUCUAAAUUUUCUAGGAAGUGAAAUCCUAAUGAAAAUUCGAAAAAAAUAAAUAAAUGUUUUAUGCUAGAAAUAUAACACAACUGUGUGGGAUGGAUAGUGCAGAUUUCAAAAAUUGUGUGUAUGCAGGGUACAAGCAUAUGAUUAUUAAAUAGUUUUCAGAAGGUCAUAUCAACUAUGGCCAGGCACAUAAACAUCAUUGUUCACUUCUCCAAAUAAUUCGGCCUGUUUACUUUCUAAAAUUAAUUUUAGCUUUCAUUUUUUAAAAUCUAUGUUCAUUUCCAACCAUGAAUAAGGAGAUGAAAGACUCAUGUAGUAUAUAAUUGUGCUAUAUUAGAAAACAAAACAUGAAAAUUAUAUAAAAUAGUUUAUUGGUUUUACUUAGAAUUUUGAGAACAUACAAGUCAUGGCAUGUACAAAGCUCGAUAGUUCGUUUUACUUACUCAAAAUUUUGAAAGUCCCAACCGCCUAAACUAGCUGCCUCAGUGAGAGCGGCUUUCCAUUCCUGUAACUUGUCAUUAUUGCUCUUCAAAUCUCGCUUAUGUUUUGCAAAAGCUUGCUCGUAACUCCCGGUCUGGUUCCUCACAUGUGAUGGAUCUAUUUUGUAAAAAACUGGUAUCACAAUGUGUUCCUUAUAUUUCUUGCAUUCAAGAAUCUUCUUGAGCUCAUUCAAGCACCAUUUUGAAGAAGCAUAGUUUUCUGAGAAGAUGACAAUAGAUGCAUGUGACUUCUCAAUGGCUUUGAUGAGUGCUGGCGAGAUCUCAUCUCCUUUUUGAAGCUUAUUGUUGUCUAUAAAGGUUUCAACUUUCUUUCGGCUCAGAGCAUCAUAAAGAUGGCUGGUGAAGUUUCUGCGAGUAUCCUCACCUCGAAAGCUAAGAAAAACGUCAUAUUUUUUCAGAGGCACCACAUCAGAAGAAGAUAUGGAAGAAAAAGCACUGCUCAUUUUCUACCUAGUGAUUAUGAAUUCCAAGUGCCUGCACUAAUCACAAUGCUACACUCAAAAAUAAAAUAAAAAUUUAUGUUUAAAUGUGUUCUUGAUACUUGUCAAUGAUAUUUUUGACAGGUACUCGGUUCAUAUAUCUGAUUGACAUCAGAUCAAGCAGUUCAAGGUUCACAUAUUGCUCAUCUAUGGAUAUAAUAAAUAAACAGCAUUUGUUAUUUCAAGUCGUUUGUGAUUCUUGGAAAUUUGUUUGUCUUAUAUUAAUGGCUUGCUUAUGAUGUGGAAAACCUAUACAGUUAUUUUGAAGAUGAAAAAACUUGAAUAGACAUUAAAAGCUUAAUGACAUGAAAUAGUAAAGAAUCUUAACAUUUUUUUGAAUGACAAAUCCUAGUAGUUAGUUGUUAGAUUAAGUAUUGACUAUUUCGUCCAGGUUUGAACCGAGAGUCUCCAACUUCUUAUCCGUGAGUUCAAAUUUCAAACCAGUUGAGCUACUCAACCUCCCAAAUAAAAAAACUUAACUCAGAUUAAGUGAAGAGCAACCAAAAUAAAACAUAGAAUUCAAUUCAAGCAACAAGGUUAAGCAUCAUUGGAGUCCAUACAUAAAAUUAGUCAUAAAUAACCAGCCUAUGAAUGUAAAGCAAAAACAAAUCUGGCCCAUGUAUGAUACUUUUUUCUCAAGCAGCAUUUUCAGAUACAAAACAGAGUAAUUUCCUAAUCAGUAAAAAUGGGGUACAAAUAAGAAAUAUGAAGACUAAUUAAACAUUCAUAUACAAUUCUUGAAGACCAAUUUAAUCUUAUAAGUUAAAUUAAAAUUGAUGGAAAAAAGAUGAUACCAAAGUCAGAUCCAGCUUAAUGCAAUAGAGGAGAAAAAGACUGUAUGGCUUAGCUUCUGCUGGAAUCAAUUUUGGAUCAAAAUAACAAAUGUGAUUUCACUGUUAUGCAAUCCUAAGUAAAAUGGCUUCAUUGCUCUUUAACAGAUACCAUAAGAUAAAAUAUACUGUAACAUACAGUAACCUUGUUGACUUGGGGGCUUCACUUGGGUUCCAACUACUUUUAAGUUUUAACCAGAAAAAUAAAUACAUGUGUAUUUAAGGCCACAAGAUUAAAUACAAACUUUAUCUUAAAAAUAACUCAUUCAACAUCUAAAAUUUAUAAAAUUGAUUUUUUUUUUAAAAUAGAAUUUAUCACUUGUUUCCUUUUUAGUUUUAUACUAAAUGUUUAGCUCAGUUGAUACAGUGCAUAAUAUAUGCAAAAUCCAGGGUUCGAAUAUUGGACGCCAUCAAAAAGAAAUGUUUUUAAAAAGUUAUUAACAAGAUUUUUUCAUGGUAAAUUCUAUCCACUAAACUACUUGAUAAAAAAAAUAUAAAAAAAAAAAAAAAAGACAGCAUCCAUAUUGACGUUAGUAAAUCUUAUGAUAAUUUAUCGAAAAAAUAAUAAUAAAUAAGAAUUUACAUAGAUAUGUUAUUUCGGCCAUACCCCAGUGAAAGUUGAGAAUAGAUAAAAGGUGUUUGUAUUUGACAUUUUUGUCGAAUAUCUAUACUUUUAAAAAAUUAAAAAAAUACAUGGUUUUUGGAAUAACUUUUUCAUUUCUAAUUAUACCUCUAAGCAAAUCUGUCUAGAAGAAAUAGAAGAAAUAUAUAAUUGAAUCCUGUCAUCUUUUAAUUUUUCUAAUUACAUUUCAUGUAUUCAUGGUUACACACUAAAAUGAUAAAAUUAUCCUUAAAUAAAAUUUAAUUUAAUCUUAAACUCGGUUUAAGUAGGUCAUGUAAACUUAAUUUUAGUAGACAAUGUAAACUGAGUUUAAGUGUAACACUUUAAGUAAGUUAUAUAAACUUAGCUUAAGUAGGUCAUGUAAAAUGAUCAGUUUAAGUGUACAUACUAAAAGUUAAAUUUUGCUUUAACCUCUUCAACCUUGUUUAAUGAUUCUACAUAAUCUUAUUUUAAGUAUGUACUUGUAAACUCAACUUAGGUAGACUAUGUGACUAAAUUUACAUGUACCCACUUAAACUGAAUUUAAGUUAACCUCAACGAUGUUAAUUAACGUUGUUUAUGUUGCACCAUUAAAUAAUCGUGUUGUAAAGUGCAUAACAUAUCAACGUUUGAACAACAAAGAAAAAAAAUCGAAACUCUAGCAUCAAUGAAAAAGAAGAAGAAAUUCAAUUAUUUAUAUGCAAUAGAGUAUGGACGAAAGAUGUUUUGAUUCACUCUUUAAUCUUCUAUAUAGAUUGAUUGACCAUCCAUAAUUGUUUGUGGGGGAAAGCGGGUGAAAUUUUAGAGUGACAAUGAAUGAAAUCAAGGUUUUAAGAAAAUUUAUAUAAAAGAACAAUUUUAAUUUUAUUAUAAAAUUUUAAGUAAAUAUAUGUGUAAUAAGAAAUACAUAGGAUGUAAAAAGAAAAACUCUUGUUAUCAUCAAAACUCAAAGUGGUGUUGUCAAACACAUUUUAUUCCAACAAUAUGUUCGAUAAAACGCAUACAAGUCUGGGAUCAUCCUUGACUUUAUAAUGUUGCGUGCAUUUUACCAACUACUUAUCAACAUUUGUAGUGGCCAUAUAUCAUUGUUUUAAACCUGUUGAUUACACCUAAGCAGCAAUGGAGCUAAUUAAUGGAUUUUUUUGACAAUAAUAGAACCAUAACUACAUGACUGCCUACUUGGAAGCUUGAGAAUGAUGGUGUUUAUACAGUUAAGAAUCCAUACAAGGACAUUAUGAAUCAUGAUAUGGCCCUUUUGCAACAUCGUGUGCCGAGAAAUUGGAAUUAUGUUUGAGUUUAAAGUUGCCACCGUAGCUACCACAAUUGUUUGCCUACUACAAUUCGAUUGCAAUUGAAAGGUGUUUCGUGUACUGAUUUGUGCGCGAUGUGUGAAGACUUUGGUGAAGAUAAUACUUAUUUGUUUUUAUGUGUAGUAAAAGUGUGCUUUGUUGGAAGCACACGAUUUUGGAUUCCUUUGAUGGUAGUCUUCGAUCUUGCUGCAAGUUUCUCGAAAAAUGUGUUUUCUAUUCUAUAACAUCUGGACCAGCAGCAAAAACAAAUCUUUGGUGUGACGCUAUGGAGUAUUUGGAAGAAUAGAAAUAACAAGGUUUGUAACAAUGUUACUGAAACAUCUCAAACUAUUUGUGAACGUGCACGUUCCUUCUCGCUAGCUGGAUGAAUGCCCAAACUAUUCGACACCAUACUUUUCGGCAUUCCAUUACACAGAGCGAUCUACAUAUUGACAUAACCAAGUCCCGACAGGUUCAAAUGCAAUGUAGAUGCUUUCUUUUCUCAUGCUCUGAAUCGAGUCGGGCUAGGUAUGUGUAUUCGAGAUGAUUGUUGAACCAAAAAUCUUUUUGAUGAAUGUUUUAAUAAUAACAAACUUUAUGGAAUAAACACUAAGUUUUAUGAAUGGUGAUCUACUGAUGUUUGCACUUAAGUCUUUUCCGAGAAGUAAACAAGAAAUAAGUCUUUUACAAGUGCAUAGAUAUAUUCAAUGAAAGAAUACCAAAACAAUAGCAUCACAAGCUCAAAGAAGAUAUAGAAAAAAUAUUGUUUGAAUCAAAUGAGUAUUGAUUGAAGAUUCAACAAGAAGAUGUAUUUUAUGAUCAAUUGACUCAUCCUCAUCACCACAUGGUUUUCAACAAAGCAUUAAAAAAUUUGAGGAAUAAAGGGUUAAUAUUUGAAAGACACUUAAUGAACAAGAAACAUUGUGUGGAAUCACUAAGAGGAACUAUGAGAAGAAUUGUAUCAUCAAACAAUUCAAGGUUAAUUGACCAAGAAGAUAUUGUCUUCUUAUAUAGAAGAGAACAUUAUCAACUUUGAUGAAAAGAAGGUUCUCAUGAUGAAGAUGAUUAUUACACUCGAAAUAAUUAGAAUCAACUUUGAAGAGAAACCAACCGAUGAAUAAAUUAUUUAUUAAGUCAUUCAUUAAUUGGAGAACUAUCAAGGAAGACAAAUCAUGAUCAUAUGCAUGAAGAUUCUAUCAUAAAAGACUUAGGAUGAUCCAAGAAUCUUCAAUCAUUUUUCAAGAUAUAAUUUGGGAGAAUAGAAAUCAAUAAAAGGAAUUUUUACUUUGAGAAAGGUUUCUCAUGUUCUUACAAAAGAACAUUAUGGUCAUAAAAAGUGAAGAGAACACCUUCACUUUAUGUUUUUAAAGAUAACACAUAUUUACAUUUAUUAUCUUGUUAUCUACUAAUGUGAGAAUGUUUCAGUGAGAAUGUUCUCAAGAACGUUCUGACCUCGCAAAGAUAACAAAACAUCUUUAACAAAGCAAAUGACAAAAAUCAUCUUUUGAUAAAUGUCAAGAAUGUGCAUAAUCAAAGAUCAAGAAUAAUUGUUAUUCUCUUUGUCUCACCAAAAGAAGGAUCAAUGAUCAUAAAAAUCAAGAUCCUUAAAGGCAUUAAAUGGCAAGAAAUCAAGACAAAUCAAAGCAUUAUGGCACAUGGGCCAUGAUAGCAAAAGAACAAAGAUUAAAUCAUAAUGGCCUUAAAAGAGUGAAAAGAUUCAUUAAAGAAAGGCUUAAAUAUGAUAUUAGUCCCUGUAAUUUGGGUCGGUUUUGAAUUUCGUCCCUGUAAAAAAAAAACUUUGAAUUACAUCCCUGUAAAAAAAAAUUUGUUUGAAAAAGGUCUAUGGCCCCACAUUUUUGAUGAUAUGGCAUGGGUUUUGCCACAUGGCAGUUGCUGACUGUGCAACUUAUGCCACAUGGCGCUGACGUGGCAUGCCACAUAAUAUUAAAUUUAAAAAAAUAAUUUUUAAAUUCUAAAAAUUGUUUUUAAAAUUUAAAAAUAUAAAAAAAAAAUCUGAAAAAAAUUUAAAAAUAUUAAAAUUAUUUUUAUCAUAUAAUUUUCAAAAAAAUUUUUUUUUUUAAAUUAUAAAAUCUGAAAUUUCUGAAAAAAAAAAAUGAAAUGAUUUUUUUUUAAAAUAUGAAGAAAAAAAUAUAAUUUUCAAAUUAAAAAAAAUUAAUGAUCGAAAAUUUAAUUUUAACUGUUUUUUUUCGAUUUUUUAAAUGAUUUUUGAAUUUAUUUUCAUAUUUUUUUAAAUUUUUUAAUUACGUGGCUGCCACGUGGCAAAACCUAUGCCAUAUCAUAAAAAAUGUGGGGCCAGGGACCUUUUUCAAACAAAAAAAAAAUUUACAGGGAUGUUUUUCAAACUUUUAUUUUACAGGGACGAAAAUGAUAUUUAAGCCUUAAAGAAAUAUCUCAAAGUUGUUCCUUGUGGAAAAAGCAUAUGACAUCAUCAUAUAGCAUAAAGAUGACAUAAACACAUCUUAUCAAGUGGCUAGCAAGCUUCUACAACAAUAUUACAGCUGAUAACAACUUGCAAAACGUGUUCCUUCUUUGUACAAGUUUGGCUGGUACAGAGAGAACGUUAUGGAGAACGUUCUGGGUAAGAAAAACCAUCAAAGAAAGAUCUCAAAGUUGUGCCUUAGCAUAUGACAUCAUGCAAUGACAUCAAGCUUGCAUCAUCUUAAGUGGCCUCCAAGGCUUCUACAAUCAGGCAUAUAACUCGUUACAUCUUGCAAAAACGUGUUGCUCUGUGCCCAAGUUAUGGCUGGAAUAGAGAGAACGUUCUCGGUGAACAGUUUCAUGCUUUCUCUCCAAGCAUCAAAUGGAGCCAAUUUAUUUUGAAUUUGAAUUGAGCUCCAAUAGCUCUUUUUUGACUUGUUCUCCAAGGAUACAUCUCCUAUAAAUAGAGGACGUCCAUGAAGGUUAAUAGCAAGAGUUUUGAUAUACAAAAGCUUUGACAUCUCUCUCUCUCUCAAAGCUAAAGAAAUCAUUAUCUUCAUCAAUCUCUUUAACAUCUCUUUCGACAAUCACAAAGCAAACUCCAUAAUCUUUCACUAUAUUUAUCAUCUUUAUCUCUCAUUGAGAACAUCUUUCUGAGUUUGUAUUUGUACAAGGAUAGUUUGUUUGAGACGCUAGAUCCAAACAACAUCUUUCUCAUUUUCGUUUGAGACAUUAGAUCCAAACAAUCAUCUUACAAAGAGAUAACUAGAUCUCAAGUCUAUUGGGCUUAAUAGUUUGAGAUAGGAAGAGUUCCAAGCUUUCUUGUGCAAAAGCAAAGAAUUGUAGAAGCCUGCUGAGGUUGAUAAUACAAGGGUUACAGACUGAUCUGGUGUGAUCAAGACCUUAUAGUGUUGGUUAGAAGUUUCUACCAACUGAAUACUAUAGUGGAUAAUCUCACACGAAAUGUGGGGACUGUGGAAGUAACCGGGAUUGGUGAACCAGGAUAACUCUCCUGUGUUAUUCUUCUUUCUCUCUCCCUCUCUAUCUUUUAUUUUUACACAAUAUGCACACACUAUCACACUCAUUAAUAUUUAUAACUCCUCUCUCCCUCCCUCUCUCCUGUGUUAUUCUUCUUUCUCUCUCCCUCUCUCUAUCUCUAAGAUAUUCUGGUCCUAAUUAAUCACAACCAAAUUAAUCCAGAGUUCUCUGGUCGUUAAAUAACCAUUAAUAUUGUUUUAUCAUUCAGCUUAAUAAUUAAUUAUAACUGCUUUAUAUUUAUCCAGAGUUCUCUCGUCCUUAAUUAACCAUAAGAUUAUUUUAUCAUUCAGUUUAAAUAAUUAAUUAUAUAAUUAUUAUCCAGAACAUUCUGGUCCUUAGUAAAACUGCUUAAUUAUUUAAACCUUACUUUAUCCAAAACAUUCUGGUCCUUGAUAAAACAAUUGUUUAAAUAUCUAAAUAUUUUAUAAUCUUCUUUUAUCUAACAUUUACCAAGAAUUUUCUUGAGUACAUAAACUUGUUAAGUUUCAGGAUUAAAUUUAAAAAGGGUCACAAUUCAAACCCCCCCUUUCUUGUGACUAUUUCUUCCACUUCAAUGAUGAGAGGUUGUUUUGUGUUACCUAAAACCAAAUGGUUGACUCCGGUCCUUGAUGUGGACUUGAAGAGGCUUUAGGUUUAUUAUAAACAUUGUAUUGGGUGCGUGAUCUAUAGCUAGGUAUUGUGGAUUUUGGCCUUGAUUCCAAAAAUGUGGUGGAUAGUCUCUAUGGUAGAAAAAGUAACGUUACUAAUUAUAGUGCAGUUAUAAUUGAUUGUAGACGCAUGUUAGCUUGUGAUUUAGCAAUUGAUGAUGUUAGGUUUAAUCAGAGACAAGCCUACGAAGUCGCUGAUGUUAGUUUCUAUAUUCAUACUAAGAUUACAUCGUGUAUCUCAACUAUUAUGCAAUAAGUUUCUUUAUGUCUAAAAAUAAUAAUUCAUUUUCUACUCAUUGUCCAAGAGUAGCACCUCUUAAGCAACCAUACAUCAACACCACUUCAGCGCCACCGUCAAGGGCACCACCAAACAAUGACUCUACCAUAACUCUUACAUCCUCGCCGUAGUCAAAGUCAUUGAAUCCCACCCCCAUCGUCGAUCUAUGAUUUUCCCCUGGUUCCGUCCUGGCCUCGACCAAAACUACAAUCGCCACCAUAAAAGGUUCUAUCUUCACUCCCGUCAUCGGCACCACCUCCAAAACCACCUAAUUGCAUCUCUAUUUACGGAAUCAUUGACUUUGAGGACAAGGUCAAUUUUGAAGAGCAGAGUAGUGAUAACAUUAACCAAGAGGAAGAAAUUUCGGAUAACGUAUAACAAAUGAUGUUAAAGUGAAGGGAUUGCAUUACUAUCCAGGAACAAUAAGAUUAGCAGAUAAUAAUAGGAAGGUAGUUUUAUAUUUGUUUGUUAUGUUCUGAGUAAUAAUAGAUAAUUUAGUUGUAUAUCCUUAGAUAUUAAUAACUUCGUUUUUUUUUGUCAAAUUGUCUAGUGGUUAAAACUCACAUAUUUUUUAUUAAAAAAAAAAUAACUAACACAUUUUAAAUAUGGACAUAAGUAUUUCGUGAUUAUAUAUUACCGAAACUUCUCUGAAGGACAUAAAUCUAUAUUUCAUUUCUUGAUUGCUUUUCAGAGAAGUUUCGAUAAUAUAUAAUACAAUAACAAUAUUGACUUGGGUUCCAGUCUACUUUCUAUAAAAAAUAAAAAAUAAAAUGGGUUUAUGCCACGUUGUAUAAAAUAACAAUAAUAAAAUAAAUAUAAUAACCAUAUUAAUUAAUAAAAAACAAAGAUAAGAAAUGUGAUUAAGAAAGGAAGGAAGGAAAAAUCCAAAGUGUCUUCUAGGAGCAAAGGUGUCAUGACAUUAUUAUUAGUAUUUUUAUGGAACAAUAUUUAGGGUAGCAUGCCUCAUUCUAGUUAAGAAAAAAUUCAAGGUUCAAUAAAUGCUUGCAUAAAUUCUUACAUACUAUUCAUUAAUUAAAUAUAAGUUGUAUUCUUACUAAAUUGCUGACAUGACAUUAUUCUUUAACAAGCAUACAAAAGAUAUGACAUUAGAGAUAGUGACCCUUUAAGUAAAAAUAUGUACAUCCUCUAGUUAAUAUUAUAAACAAAAAUUAGCAUUUUAUAUUCAUUCAUUAAAUUAUAUAUGUGGUUAAUAAUAAAGACUAUAUACAUUAUUUAAUGAAUGAAUUUGUCAAUAUGCGUGGUCAGAUCAGAUGCAUAAAUGUGUAAGACGCUGGGUGAAUAAAAGAUCUGGAGUACAAAUCCGAACCACCAAAAAAAACUUACAUUGUGAAUUCAAUUUCCUAUAUUAAAACUUACGGUGUGAAUCUAAUUUCCUGUAUUAAAACUUAAGGUGUGAAUCUAAUUUUCUAUAUUAAACUAAAUAGCUGUUAGAUGAGGUCCAUUUCUUUUUAUUUGUUUCUUACCAAUCAAUUUCAGUAACCUUUAAACAAAUGUCAUAUUGUUGAAUCGUGAACUUUCUUCACACGUUCAAUGGCUGGUCCAAUUUAGAAAAUAUUAAUGAAUACAUGCUUUGAUAAAUUAUUUAUCAAAAACUGAUUUAUAUACUUUUUACACACAAGGAAUUGAGUUGGACAAACCCCUUCACUCCGACCUCAUCCCCCAAUCCCUCCCACCGCCAAUUUCAAGUGUGUUUAGCUGAGAAAAAGUUAUGUAAUGUUUUGAAAAAGUUAUAAAGUAUUAUGUUUAAGUUAAAUUGAGUGAAUUUUAAAUGAUAUUUAAGAUCUAAGAAUUUCAAAUUAUUUCCUAUUAGAUAUAUCUUUCAAAAUUUCCAAGUUGGUCCCCAUAUUUUUCAAAAAAAAUAAAUUAACCCUUAAAUAUUUAAAAUAAAUUGCAAAUUGAUCCUUACAAUUUCUUGAAAAUUAUAAACCGCUUUCAAUUUUUGAAUUCUACAAAUCAGCCCUCAAUUUUUCAAUUUUUCAAUUUGGCCCAAAAUUUUAUAAAAUAUAAAAGUAAGUAGCACAAAAAUAUAACUGAAGUAUUUUAUCACUGUAUCCAAACAAAAAUAUUAAAAAAUAAAGGGAUCUAGCGUCGAUCAUCUCACAAGGUGUUGGGAUGAUUUAUACCGCCGCUAUGAAAAUUAGAACUUUAAGUGCUUGUUUGGUGUAACACUCCUAUUUCUAUUAAAGCAAUUAAACAUGCAAAUAAUACAUUUAUUCAAGAAAUAGAGGCUACGCCACAUUCAAAAUUCAAAAACCAAUAAACAUGUAUAUAAACCUCAACAGUUGCAGCGGAAUAUAAAUCAGAGUAAUCCAAAUGUAUACAUGUCAUGAAUAAUAAAUUACAUCACAUAGAUGCAUCUCAAAAAUCCCAAACAAAACGGAUAAUCUCCAACAUAACAAAAUCCAAAAAUAACCUAAUCUAGACCGACACAACAAGCCUAGAUCAGAGCCAACUCAACACCGAUAUCGGAGAAAGCUCCCGAUAUCCCAAGCACAAACUCACCAAGCACUACUCCUGCACAACGUCUACCCAUCCAUACAGAUAGGUAGGCGGUUAAAACCACUAGGGUAAGUAUUACAUUAUCAUAAUCCAAAUAACAGAUAACAUGAGUAUUUCAAUAUAAACAUCAUGCAUUUGAUCAAUAGUAAUCACACAUUAAUACUUACAUCACAUCCCAAUAUCUCACAUCAAUAAUCAUCAAUCACAUAAACAGUUAACAAUUCACAAAUAUUCAUUCACAAUCUCCAAACACAAAUAUUCAUGAAUAGUCAUUAAUCACAUUUCACGAACAAUCACCAAUCACAUUUAUCAAACAAGACUCAUGUCAUGAUAUGCACUUAUUGACACAUAAAUGCAUGUGGUACCAAAUCUCCAAAAGGUCGUCACCUCCGAUGGAACAACUCAACAUCGUAUGUAAGGGUUCACACCCGCCUUACAUAAUCUCCGAAGUAAAAGAGCACAACCUUUUUACAACUACACGACUAUGAUGCAUGGACAUGUAAAAAAACUAGAUAAUGCGACAACAAUCACAAUUUUCUCCACAAUAUAUAGGAAAACACCCAAUUAUAUUGUUCAUCUCCACAUCAUUUGCAUUAUCAAGAAAACAUGCCCAUUCAUAAUUAAAUCAUAGUAUUCAUCAUUACACAUCAACGUGAUUAUCAAUAAUCAACGAUGUCAUUCAAUCAUCAACUAUCACAUAUAGUUUCACAAAUUCAAACAUUCCUUACAUCUUAAGUAAGAUAGCAUACACUUCUCAUGAUAAUUAUCAUAUCCAAAAUACAAUCAUUCAUUCAUACAACUUCACUUAGUCAUAUAAGAAUGAUCACAACAAUUCAUAAGACAAUACGACUUAAAGAUUCACUAGACCCCCUUUUCACAAGGUUAAUUCUUCCAUAAAAACACCCCUAGAUGAUUAGGAUAAAGUCCCUAUACAUAGAAAUAAGUUUGGAAACAAUUGGAUCAAAGAAAAUUGCAUUUUAAAAGUUUCUGGUCAGGCAAAAUCGUAGUCCGAAUUUUCCCCAUCGUAGUACGAUUUUUUUCGAGCUGAAACAACCCAAAAUCUGGUCAAAAUCGUAGCCCGAUGGAUAAAAUUGUAGUCCGAUUUCUGCCUGACAGACAACAUCAGAUUUUCCAAUUUUCACGUUUUCGCGCGUAAAAACCAAACCGUUAAUCCGUUUUCGGUGCCGUUUUCACCUACUUGUUCAUGACACUUAGCCCUAUCUUAAUGUACAGAAAAAUUCAAGUUUCAACAUUCCCAAAUUCAUUUUUCAAAGCCUUACACAACACUCAUUUUCCAAAACGGUUAACAAUUGAAUUUUCACCCGAAUCUCCCGUUUUCUCCCAAAACGACUCGACUAUCACAACUACAACCUAAAAACAGAAAUUCCAUCAAGUUUAACUCAUCCAACCACAUAGACAACUCAGUCAACAACUUUGUAUAUCAAAUUUCACUUUGGUCCUUCACAUGACCAUCUAGCACAACUUCACCAAUACAAACAACUUACUUCAUGAAAUGGAAUACCCAUGUUAUCAUUCAACAACAUCAACAUAUCUACUUUAACAACACCUCAUUUAGACAUGAAUUCAAUCAUAAUUCAAUUACACAAUAUCCCAAUCCAACAAUUGAGCAAAACACAUAAGUAUCCAUUUUCACCAAACCAACAACAACAACUUAUUUCACAACAACAAACUAUGAAUCAUGCAUACCCAAGCCAUGAAUUAGCAUCCAUAACAUCACUUAACAACAACAACAUCUAUUGAUCAUGAAACAUAUCACAAUUCAUCAACAACCAUCCAUAAUUCACCAUUUGAGCAUAAUUUACAAACUACCCAUUUUCAUACAUCAUGAACUUGCAAUUUCAUAAUCAACAAUUCAUUUAACAUCAAAUUAACACAUUCAAACAUAUCUCUACAACAUAAGCAAGAAUUUCAAAGAUUGGGUUCAUGAUAAUCACUUAUUCCCAUAAUCAAUUAUGCAUAGAACAAGAGAAAAAGAAUUAACUAAAUGAUUAUGAUAAAGACUAACCCCCUUACCUUAGAUGAAGAUUAACCCAAACUCUUGCUUCAAUUCAGCUCCUAAGCUUACCCAAAUUGAUUCCUCAAGCUAUUCUCUUCAAAACCCUUGUUCUUCUCUUCACCUCUUUCUCUCUCUACCUCUCUCUCUAGGAAAAUUUUAUGAAGUGAAUGAAAGAUAUUUUUUUUCUAUGACAACCCUAAUGUUAUCUCCCUUAAUGGGCUUAACUUAGUUUCUAGUGGGCUUAACCCAUUUCUAUUCAAACCACAAAUAUUUCUCUUUAACUAAUAACGGUAAAAUAUAACCAACGGUCACUAAACGGUAAAAACUAAUCACUACACUAGUAACUUAGUAAAAUAAGGGUUCUCACUAAAUAUUAAAGAUAAUUCUUACCAAAAUUUCCAUUUUACCCUUACCCGCCAAAUGACCAAAUACCCUUCUAAUACGGUAAUCUAUGUAAAUGCACCCAAUGACAAUUAAAUACACACAAGCACAAAUAAUCACAAACAAACACAUAAUAAAAGUAAUUAAAAUAAAUCUAGCUAAAAAUCGGGCUGUUACAUUUGGCACCACGUUUUUGGGCUCCAAACGUGGUUUAUUUUUGCCAAACGUGGUGUUGCACUUUUACAUGCUGUUUGGAUGACGAAAAAGCAAGUUUCUGAAAAGCGGUUUAUGUCUCCAAAACGCAAUUUUCUUGAAGCUGGAAUUCGGAGCUUCUACGGCAGAUAAAAACCACGUUUAAGCCUUUAAUUUCUCAAGUGGCAGGUACUUACCUAAUUACCCCUAAAUUCAAGCCUUCAAUUUCUCUUUCUCAUAGUUUUCUUCCUUUUCAUUACUUCACAUCACUUUCAAACUUAAAUUUUCUGCUAAUUGUGAAGAUUUUGCAUAUCCAAGAUUUCAAUUAUCUUCAGCUUUUCCCCAAUUUUUUCAGAUUUCAUGGUUAAUCUCAUUACUCAUGGUAGAUGUGUUGUUUGGGUGAAUUUAUUCCUUCAGCUUUUCCCCUAUAUAUGAUGCUUAUGAGCUACUUGUGAGAACCAUUCCAUUGCUCUGCCAAGGCCUGAAGGUAAAUACAUAUUCAUAUUUUUUUUGCUUUGAUUACUUGCUUCAAUAUUGUUAAUUUCUAUUUCUCUUUGCUCUAUUUGUUACAAGUUUUACAUUAAUUUUUCCAUCCUACAUCAAUGCAUUGUAUGUGUUUGAUAAAUAGUCUCAAAGAAAAAAAAAAUUCUUAUAUUGAUAUGUUUAUGUUGAUGAAUUUUCUUGACCUGUAGAAGUGAUUGUUUUGUUAUUAUUGAUGUUUAUCUUUAUUUUUAUUUUUUUUUAUUUUUUUGUGUUUUUAGCAAGGAGUCUAUUGUUUUUGUUUAAGGUACUUGGUGUGUUCAAAGUAAUUGAAUGAACUAACGUAAGAAAAGAAACUUAUAGCUUCAAGCCAUUGUUGUAAUUCUAAUUUUUGUGCCUUUACAAAAAAUUCCAAAGUAACAGAAUUUCUUCUAACACAAAGUAACAGAACUCACUCUUAGCACAAAGUAACAGAACUUCUUCUUGUAUUGUUUUUGUUUUCUGUUAUCAUUUUCAUUUGCACAAAACAAGGAUAUUGGUGUUAGUUUGAUCAAGUUGCUUAUGUAUAGUUUGUUUCAUUUUUUUUUUUGGGUUAAUAUGUCUUUACCCCCUGUAAUUUGGGCGAGUUUCGGUUUACCUCCUGUAAAAAUAAAAGUUUAGAUUCCAACCCUUUAAUAUGAAGAUUCUUCAAAAAACACCCCUAUAAUAUUAAGAUUCUCCACAAAACACCCCUGACCCCAUCCAGACGCUGAUGUGGCACGCCAUUGUGUAAUUAUUUUAAUUUUUUUUAAAACCUGACACAUGUGUAAUGGACGCUGACUGUAUAAUUUUUUUUAUUUUUUUUUAUUUUUUUAAAGGGUACACGUGGCAUUUGUGAUUUUAAAAAAAAAUAAAAAACGAAAACAAUUAUGGAAAAAUUAAUAAAAAUAAAAAAUAUUCUGAAAAAUAAAAAAAAAUAGCGAAAAAAUUAAUUAAAAUAAAAAAUAUGAUUAAACAAAUUCCGGAAAAUUUAAUAAAAUAAAAAAUAAUCUGAAAAUUUUAAUAAAAAUGAAAAAGAAUCUGGUAAAAUGAAAAAUAAUGAAAAAAAUUUGGAAAAAUUUUAAAAAGUUCUAGAAAAUUUUAAAAAAUAAUAAAAAAAUCUGGAAAAAGUUAAAAAUAUGAGAAAAAAAAUUUAUAUUUCUGGAAAAUUCAGGACCUUAAAAUAUUUCAAAAUUCUUGAAUAUAAUAAGAAAAUAUAUUUUAUUUUUAAAAAAAAAAGGUUCAGAUUUUUCUUUCGAAAUUAAUUUUUUUUUUAUUUUUUUAUACAAAAAAUAAAAAUAUUGGAAAAUAUUUCAAUAAUUAGAAAAACAUAACAUUAGAACAUGAAGAAUAGAAUUAAGGGCUUGUUUUUCAAUAGUAUAACAUGACUUAUAUACCGGUGUCAAUCAAAAUUCAUUGUAUCUUGUUAUUCAUCUAGAUUAUAUUUUCGAAUAAAAUAAAAUUCUAGAAAUAAAUUUUCAUAAUCAAAAUAACUAUAUAAUAUUAUAUUUUUCGAUUUUUUUAUAAUUUAAAUUUAAUUCAGAUUUUUUUUUAUAUUUUUUGAAAAUUUUGAUAUAUAUAAAUUUUUUCCAGAAUUUUUUAUUUUUUUUGAACUUUUUCCAGAUUGUUUUGUUUAUUGUCGUGAUUUUUUUCUUAAAUUUUCUAGAUUUUUUAAUUUUUUCAGAUUUUUUUUAUUAAAUUUUCUAUAUUUUUUCAUAAUUGUUUUUUCAUUUUAAUAAUGUUUCUAGAAUUUAUUAUUUUAUUUUUAUUUUAAAAAAAUAUAUACAAAUGCCACGUGUACCCUUUAAAAAUAAUAAUAAUACAGUCGUCACGCUACAUAAUCAGAUAUGCACAGUCAGCAUGCCAUUUCAGCUCGCCACGUCAGCAAUUCUGUACAGUCACAUAGGUCAGGGGCUAAAGUCAAAUAAUCUUAUUUUACAGGGUUGGAAUCUAAUCUUUUUUUUUACAGGGGGUAAACCGAAACUCGCCUAAAUUACAGGGGGUAAAUACAUAUUAACCUUUUUUUUUUUUUUUAUCAUACUUUUGUGUAUAUAGUAAUAUGGACUCACUUAAGAGAAAAGUUUCUGCUAACCCCCCUUCAACUAACAAUGAGGGUCAAAGUUUCAAAGCUAGUUUAAAUAUUAGUUUGCAAUAAUUUUCAAUAUUAUAUUGCACUUGAACUUAUAUUAUCUAUUAUCUAUAUGUAAUAUACUUUAGAGCCUUGCCAUUUUUUAUACAUAUUUAGAAAUCUAUGAUUAUGUAUUAAUAAUUUACGUAUAUUUUAGUUUACAAUUGUGUAAUUUCUCAUUUGUUUUACAUCUUUUUAUGCUUAUAUUAUUUUAUUAAAAAUCACCCAAUUGAUAAAAAAAAAUAAUAUUAAAAAUAACAUAAAUUUAUAUUAUUUUAAAAUUAAUUUUAGAACCAAUAGAAUUCAUGUAUGAUAAGUUGAAAUAAUUUUUUUUUAUGAGAAUGAGUUUUAAAUACAAUUAAAAUGAUAGUUUAGUCAUUAUACAUUCAAAAUCAAUUUUGAUUCAAACUAUCCAAACAACAUCAACCCGCAAGAAUCACUUUUAGUAUCCAAACAUAAAUCAAUUCACAUUCAACUCACUUUUAACCAAAAUCAAUUCUCUCAAACUCAAUUCUAUCAAAAUCAAUUCUCCUCGCCGCCAUACCAAACACACACUAAGAUUAAGAAGGAAAAGAUGAAGGGAACUGGCUACAAAUGGUAUUAUUAAUGUGGCUUGGUGGAACUCUUUACCCUUCUUUACUAGGGAUGACUUUUAUAAAGACCACUAUGGAUUUUUAAAUUAUCGUUCUCCAUAUCUCUUUGUAUUUUAAUUUUGUUUUUUGUUUUGGUUUGGUCCUCCUCUAGUACGGUUUUUCAUUUUUUUAAUAAUUUUUUUUUAGAUCAAGCUGGCAUAGGAUGGGGUGGUUUUGGAGUGUGAACAUAGUUGGAAUGUCAAACCUUCUUUUGAUGUCUUCUUUUGCUCAUGAUUUAGAAGGAAAAAAAAAAUUUAAUUACAAUAUAUUUCUCUAAAUUGAUUGAUUUCUUUCCUAAAGACACAACAGAAUUAAUCAACUAUAAUUGAUUUAUUUUUUUUACUUGGAUGAAAGUGAUUCAUAUGCCAAACAGAGCCUAAGUAAUUAAAAUAACAAAUUAGUUUAAAAAGGUAACUACCUGGAAUACGCAUUAGAAUGAAUCAGUAUUAGAGAGAUUAGAAACACCAGUAUUGAUUUGUGAGAAAACCAAGAUCUUUGAUCUGUAUCAUUUAAAAAGGAAAGACCAUCAACAGAACCAUUAUCAUUCUUCUUGUCUUUCUUCUUUUUUGACACAAAAUCAUGAAACUUGAGUAGCUAUACUGCAAUAGGGAGAAAAAGGAAGAAGAAAGACGAUUCAUUUAGUGAUGAAGCAGAAGAAGUUUGAAGAAAGUGGUAUUGCUAGCUUCAAUGACAUUGCUGAGGAAAAUAAAUAGAGAUCUAUACACAAAAUUAUGAAAGACAAGAAGAUUCAUACCAAUUGAACAGCAAGGAUGUUUCUGGUCAUCUUCAUUUUCAAUGUUGGAGCUUAUGACUUCACCUCCAAUUGAUGUAGGUUGUAACUCAUCAUUAUAAUUUCCCUGGCCAUCUUCACUUUCAUUGUUAGACCAAUCAGACCCCACACCAAUUUCCCAACCAUCCAGAUUCGACUUAUGUUCUAAGUUAUAUACAGGUAAGACCCCACACCCCUUUAUCCCCUCUGUUGACCACCACAAUUCUUCAUUGAAAUCUUGAUGCAUGAAUUGAAAUGAUAGGUUGCAAUCAUUACUUCCAUGUUUCCGUCUGUUGUAAGGAUGCCAACAUAUCAAUACGUGAUCUGAAAUUAAUGUCCCAUUAUAUUCGUAAACAACAAGAAUACACUUGUCGACUUCUUUGCCGUGUUCAAAGAUGACACAAUGCAGGGGGUGAUUGAGAUCAUGGAAGCCCUUAGAAAGAAUGGUGCAGAAUACGAAACCAGACAGGUUAUAUUUUGGAAUCGGAGGAAUGGUUAUUGAAGCCUUCAUUGUUUGAAAAUCAAACUUGCGAGGAACUUGUGCUCCUGGCAAGAAAUAGACAUCAUAAUAGGAACGGUUAUUGACAUCUUUAUUUGCAUGAAAAGGGUCUUUAGAGAAGAUUUGUACUAUGUUCUCAAGAAAUGACCGUUGAGUGGAGUCUGUGUCCAGAUAAGUGCAAUUAAUGGCACUCAAACAUAAUAGGGAUGGCGGAAGCUCUGUUAGAGACACAAGUUUCCUGCAAUCAUCUAAAACUAGCCAUUUUAGCAUUGAAUGGUUUCGUAUGUUCUCAGGGACACAUUCCAAGUUGCAACAAUCUUGCAAUGAGAGCCGUUUCAAAGAUUGUAUGCCAUCAAGGAUGGACCACAGACUUAAUGCAUUGAUUUCUGUGCACCGUGAAAGGUUUAGUUCUAUAACAGACCCAAGUCCAUGAUCAUCUGAUAACUUAUUCCCAACAAUGUUAAGCUUGUUACACUCGGUUAGGGAAAGAGAAGUAAGUUUUCUGUUACGCCAAAUCGAUGAAGACAAUUCACGUAUAGCAGUGCCAUCUAAGGUCAACUCUGUCAUUUCAUCCGAUGUCACUGAGAAUUCUGUGAGAGAAGAACAACCAUCGAGUAAGAGUUCACAAAGAGAUUUUGAAUGAAUGUUGGUUUUAAGGCUUUCAAUCUUUUUGCAACCUCGUAAAUCUAGAUAUCUAAGAUCAGGGAGAGAAAAGAUCGAAGAAUGGAGCUGACCCAGGCUUUCACAUUGAAAAAGAUAUACUCUAUGAAGAUUUGUAGCCUUAGAUAAGUCUGGGAUCUCAAUCAGAUUUUUGGAGGAUUCAAGCCAAAGUAUGUUUAGAUUCACAAGAUUCUGUAACAAGAAAUAAAAACACCAUUGAGAAACCGUUAAAUUCAUAAUCACGUGUGAGUGUUGAUUAAAAGAGAAACUAAACCUAAUUAAGCAUAAAUAGAGACUUUUUAAGAAUGAGCAUUAGACUUCCUCUCAUACUUCGACAAAUUAACAAGUAUAUCCAAACAGAAUUGUACCUGAACUCCAUCCCAUAGCUUUUUAAGCUUGCUAUGACUCAAGUGAAGCUCUAUGAGCAUUUCAGCACAAAAGGUUGAUGGCAAAUACUCAAGACAGUAUCCUUCCCAUCGAAGAUACCUCAAUUUAUCAGAAAUCCACUCAAGACCAUCGAGAAAGUACACAUUGGAUGUGCUUCUUCUAGAUUUAUUAUAGAUUUUAAGAUAUCUUAAAUUUGUCAUCCA
This 20700-nucleotide long non-coding RNA is filed under the name Medicago truncatula (barrel medic). RNAcentral describes it as "long non-coding RNA (MTRU_LNC000683)". Lineage: Eukaryota; Viridiplantae; Streptophyta; Magnoliopsida; Fabales; Fabaceae. The record is from RNAcentral.